This 698-nucleotide ribosomal RNA is filed under the name uncultured bacterium. RNAcentral describes it as "bacterial SSU rRNA". It matches the Rfam family "Bacterial small subunit ribosomal RNA", at positions 129 to 845 of the family's 1533-position model. The record is from RNAcentral.
CCCUGUACAGGGGGAUAACAGUUGGAAACGGCUGCUAAUACCGCAUAAGCGCACGAGAGGACAUCCUCUUGUGUGAAAAACUCCGGUGGUACAGGAUGGGCCCGCGUCUGAUUAGCUGGUUGGCAGGGUAACGGCCUACCAAGGCGACGAUCAGUAGCCGGUCUGAGAGGAUGAACGGCCACAUUGGAACUGAGACACGGUCCAAACUCCUACGGGAGGCAGCAGUGGGGAAUAUUGCACAAUGGGGGAAACCCUGAUGCAGCAACGCCGCGUGAGUGAAGAAGUAUUUCGGUAUGUAAAGCUCUAUCAGCAGGGAAGAUAAUGACGGUACCUGACUAAGAAGCUCCGGCUAAAUACGUGCCAGCAGCCGCGGUAAUACGUAUGGAGCAAGCGUUAUCCGGAUUUACUGGGUGUAAAGGGUGCGUAGGUGGCAGUGCAAGUCAGAUGUGAAAGGCCGGGGCUCAACCCCGGAGCUGCAUUUGAAACUGCAUAGCUGGAGUACAGGAGAGGCAGGCGGAAUUCCUAGUGUAGCGGUGAAAUGCGUAGAUAUUAGGAGGAACACCAGUGGCGAAGGCGGCCUGCUGGACUGUUACUGACACUGAGGCACGAAAGCGUGGGGAGCAAACAGGAUUAGAUACCCUGGUAGUCCACGCCGUAAACGAAGAAUACUAGGUGUCGGGGCCGUAUAGGCUUCGGUG